GAAGAUUAAAUCUUCUUAGGACA
RNAcentral lists this non-coding RNA (23 nucleotides) under Cricetulus griseus (Chinese hamster). Lineage: Eukaryota; Metazoa; Chordata; Mammalia; Rodentia; Cricetidae. The record is from RNAcentral.